This 226-nucleotide ribosomal RNA is filed under the name uncultured bacterium. Its description in RNAcentral is "partial 16S ribosomal RNA". It matches the Rfam family "Bacterial small subunit ribosomal RNA", at positions 110 to 334 of the family's 1533-position model. The record is from RNAcentral.
UAAACGCGUGAGGAACCUGCCUCAAAGAGGGGGACAACAGUUGGAAACGACUGCUAAUACCGCAUAAGCCCACAGCUCGGCAUCGAGCAGAGGGAAAAGGAGUGAUCCGCUUUGAGAUGGCCUCGCGUCCGAUUAGCUAGUUGGUGAGGUAAUGGCCCACCAAGGCGACGAUCGGUAGCCGGACUGAGAGGUUGAACGGCCACAUUGGGACUGAGACACGGCCCAG